RNAcentral lists this long non-coding RNA (203 nucleotides) under Nicotiana benthamiana. RNAcentral's name for it is "long non-coding RNA (NBEN_LNC020777)". Lineage: Eukaryota; Viridiplantae; Streptophyta; Magnoliopsida; Solanales; Solanaceae. The record is from RNAcentral.
CGAAAAAAUCCGAGAAAAAUCGAUACUGAAAAACCCGAAUUUAUUGGUUUGGUUUGGUCUUUAGAUUUAAUAACCCGACACAAUUGGUUUGGUUUAAUAAUUGUAAAAUCUGAACCAACCCGGUCUAUGUACACCCCUACUUGUAGUAUUAAACAUAUUUUGAUAUUUCUAUAGCUAUAAGAUCAUGACGUCAAGAAUAACAU